GCCUCAAUAGCUCAGUGGUAGAGCGUUGCACUUGUAAUGCAAAGGUCGGUUGUUCAAUCCAGCCUUGAGGCA
RNAcentral lists this transfer RNA (72 nucleotides) under Sphaerulina populicola P02.02b. RNAcentral describes it as "tRNA-Thr (TGT) (tRNA-Thr-TGT-1-1)". It matches the Rfam family "tRNA". From Rfam's summary of the family: Transfer RNA (tRNA) molecules are approximately 80 nucleotides in length. Their secondary structure includes four short double-helical elements and three loops (D, anti-codon, and T loops). Further hydrogen bonds mediate the characteristic L-shaped molecular structure. tRNAs have two regions of fundamental functional importance: the anti-codon, which is responsible for specific mRNA codon recognition, and the 3' end, to which the tRNAs corresponding amino acid is attached (by aminoacyl-tRNA synthetases). tRNAs cope with the degeneracy of the genetic code in two manners: having more than one tRNA (with a specific anti-codon) for a particular amino acid; and 'wobble' base-pairing, i.e. permitting non-standard base-pairing at the 3rd anti-codon position. The record is from RNAcentral. Lineage: Eukaryota; Fungi; Ascomycota; Dothideomycetes; Mycosphaerellales; Mycosphaerellaceae.